RNAcentral lists this ribosomal RNA (451 nucleotides) under uncultured bacterium. RNAcentral describes it as "partial 16S ribosomal RNA". It matches the Rfam family "Bacterial small subunit ribosomal RNA", at positions 354 to 796 of the family's 1533-position model. The record is from RNAcentral.
GUGGGGAAUAUUGGACAAUGGGCGAAAGCCUGAUCCAGCCAUGCCGCGUGUGUGAAGAAGGUCUUCGGAUUGUGAAGCACUUUAAGCGAGGAGGAGGCUACCGAGAUUAAUACUCUUGGAUAGUGGACGUUACUCGCAGAAUAAGCACCGGCUAACUCUGUGCCAGCAGCCGCGGUAAUACAGAGGGUGCAAGCGUUAAUCGGAUUUACUGGGCGUAAAGCGCGCGUAGGUGGCCAAUUAAGUCAAAUGUGAAAUCCCCGAGCUUAACUUGGGAAUUGCAUUCGAUACUGGUUGGCUAGAGUAUGGGAGAGGAUGGUAGAAUUCCAGGUGUAGCGGUGAAAUGCGUAGAGAUCUGGAGGAAUACCGAUGGCGAAGGCAGCCAUCUGGCCUAAUACUGACACUGAGGUGCGAAAGCAUGGGGAGCAAACAGGAUUAGAUACCCGAGUAGUCC